ACUAGCCCGUCAAUCUAUACUUCCGUAUGAGCUAAUAAUUGGACAUAUUUAUUAGAUGGAGAAAGUUCAUUUUUGACCAUCCAACUAUGGUCUCGGUUUGGUUUCAACCAUCAAACUCGAAAAAUAGGAAUCUUUGAUCACCCAACUAUUAAAAUCAUUCACAUUUGACCAUUUAACGGUUUUGAUUGGUGUUUUCGUUGACAUGGACGACACGUGAAAGUAGGACCCACACACCAGUGUUAUCUUCUUCCCCUCACUCCCCCCCUUUUCUCUCCCUUUCUCUAGCUCACCACUAAGGCUCCUCCGCACCAAGCUACUUCGUGCCCGAUCUCAAGGCCAGAGGAGUCCAUGGGAGGAGUUCUGCCUGCAGUCCGAGUGUUGGGGUGGAAAAGAGAGAGGAGGGAAAGAUCGAGGUCUGCAGGCCGGAGCUAGAGCCGGCCCUGGGGGAGGGCAAGGGGGCGGCUGCCCCAGGCCCCUAAAUCCCAGGGGGCCCACCCCAAGUGGCCAGGUCAAAUGACGGGAGAUAGACAGGUACCUUGGAGAUAGACGGGAUUAGGAAGGAUCGCAAUUAGAAUUUAGAAACGCGAGUACACGAUGUCCAGGGGCCGCCGCCAGGGCCAUAUCGCGAUUAGAAUUUAGAACUACGUACUCUCGACCGCCACCAGGGACCAGGGCCGCCACCGUGUCGUGCGCGUCGACGAGCGGCUGUUGGACUGUGCGACGGACAUCUGCGUCGGCAUCCAGGUAUGGUACUCAUCGC
RNAcentral lists this long non-coding RNA (760 nucleotides) under Setaria viridis. RNAcentral describes it as "long non-coding RNA (SVIR_LNC002854)". Lineage: Eukaryota; Viridiplantae; Streptophyta; Magnoliopsida; Poales; Poaceae. The record is from RNAcentral.